Molecule: ribosomal RNA, 305 nt
Filed under: uncultured bacterium
Lineage: Bacteria
Description: partial 16S ribosomal RNA
Rfam family: Bacterial small subunit ribosomal RNA
Source: RNAcentral
ACAGCAGUCGCCGCGGGAAUACAGAGGGUGCGAGCGUUAAUCGGAUUUACUGGGCGUAAAGCGUGCGUAGGCGGCUAAUUGAGUCGGAUGUGAAAUCCCCGAGCUUAACUUGGGAAUUGCAUUCGAUACUGGUUAGCUAGAGUGUGGGAGAGGAUGGUAGAAUUCCAGGUGUAGCGGUGAAAUGCGUAGAGAUCUGGAGGAAUACCGAUGGCGAAGGCAGCCAUCUGGCCUAACACUGACGCUGAGGUACGAAAGCAUGGGGAGCAAACAGGAUUAGAUACCCGCGUAGUCCCUGUCUCUUAUAC